Molecule: ribosomal RNA, 465 nt
Filed under: uncultured Klebsiella sp.
Lineage: Bacteria; Pseudomonadati; Pseudomonadota; Gammaproteobacteria; Enterobacterales; Enterobacteriaceae
Description: bacterial SSU rRNA
Rfam family: Bacterial small subunit ribosomal RNA
Source: RNAcentral
CCUACGGGUGGCUGCAGUGGGGAAUAUUGCACAAUGGGCGCAAGCCUGAUGCAGCCAUGCCGCGUGUGUGAAGAAGGCCUUCGGGUUGUACAGCACUUUCAGCGGGGAGGAAGGCGGUGAGGUUAAUAACCUCAUCGAUUGACGUUACCCGCAGAAGAAGCACCGGCUAACUCCGUGCCAGCAGCCGCGGUAAUACGGAGGGUGCAAGCGUUAAUCGGAAUUACUGGGCGUAAAGCGCACGCAGGCGGUCUGUCAAGUCGGAUGUGAAAUCCCCGGGCUCAACCUGGGAACUGCAUUCGAAACUGGCAGGCUAGAGUCUUGUAGAGGGGGGUAGAAUUCCAGGUGUAGCGGUGAAAUGCGUAGAGAUCUGGAGGAAUACCGGUGGCGAAGGCGGCCCCCUGGACAAAGACUGACGCUCAGGUGCGAAAGCGUGGGGAGCAAACAGGAUUAGAUACCCUAGUAGUC